This 497-nucleotide ribosomal RNA is filed under the name uncultured bacterium. RNAcentral's name for it is "partial 16S ribosomal RNA". It matches the Rfam family "Bacterial small subunit ribosomal RNA", at positions 28 to 507 of the family's 1533-position model. The record is from RNAcentral.
GAUGAACGCUGGCGGCGUGCCUAAUACAUGCAAGUCGAGCGAACAGAUAAGGGGCUUGCUCCUUUGACGUUAGCGGCGGACGGGUGAGUAACACGUGGGUAACCUACCUAUAAGACUGGAAUAACUCCGGGAAACCGGGGCUAAUGCAGGAUAACAUGUUGAACCGCAUGGUUCUACAGUGAAAGGCGGCUUUGCUGUCACUUAUAGAUGGACCCGCGCCGUAUUAGCUAGUUGUUGAGGUAACGGCUCACCAAGGCAACGAUACGUAGCCGACCUGAGAGGGUGAUCGGCCACACUGGAACUGAGACACGGUCCAGACUCCUACGGGAGGCAGCAGUAGGGAAUCUUCCGCAAUGGGCGAAAGCCUGACGGAGCAACGCCGCGUGAGUGAUGAAGGUCUUCGGAUCGUAAAACUCUGUUAUUAGGGAAGAACAAAUGCGUAAGUAACUGUGCGCGUCUUGACGGUACCUAAUCAGAAAGCCACGGCUAACUACGUG